GGUCUCGUGGCUAAUGGAUAAGGCGUUGGUCUACGGAACCAAAGGUUGUGGGUUCGAGUCCCAUCGAGAUCG
Molecule: non-coding RNA, 72 nt
Organism: Perkinsus marinus ATCC 50983
Lineage: Eukaryota; Perkinsozoa; Perkinsida; Perkinsidae
Source: Rfam